RNAcentral lists this ribosomal RNA (1440 nucleotides) under uncultured prokaryote. RNAcentral describes it as "partial 16S ribosomal RNA". It matches the Rfam family "Bacterial small subunit ribosomal RNA". The record is from RNAcentral.
AACGAACGCUGGCGGCAUGCUUAACACAUGCAAGUCGAACGGGAAUCUUUUCCUUCGGGAGAAGAGGAGAGUGGCGAAUGGGUGAGUAACGCGUAGAUAAUCUACCCUUUAGUCUGGGAUAACCCCGUGAAAACGGGGCUAAUACCGGAUAACACUGAGGAUCGAGUGGUUUUCAGUUGAAAGUGUUAGCGCUGAGGGAUGAGUCUGCGUUGCAUUAGCUAGAUGGUGGGGUAACGGCUUACCAUGGCGACGAUGCAUAGCGGGUCUGAGAGGAUGAUCCGCCACACUGGCACUGAGACACGGGCCAGACUCCUACGGGAGGCAGCAGUGGGGAAUCUUGCGCAAUGGGCGAAAGCCUGACGCAGCAAUACCGCGUGAACGAAGAAGGCUCUAGGGUCGUAAAGUUCUUUAUCUCAGGGAAGAUAAUGACGGUACCUGAGGAAUAAGCACCGGCUAACUACGUGCCAGCAGCCGCGGUAAUACGUAGGGUGCAAGCGUUGUUCGGAAUUACUGGGCGUAAAGGGUGUGUAGGCGGAUAAAUUAGCUAGAGGUGAAAGCCCGGAGCUCAACUCCGGAACUGCUUUUAGAACUGUUUAUCUAGAGAGGGUCAGAGGCUAGCGGAAUUCCAGGUGUAGAGGUGAAAUUCGUAGAUAUCUGGAGGAACACCGGCGGCGAAAGCGGCUGGCUGGGGCCACUCUGACGCUGAGGCACGAAAGCGUGGGGAGCAAACGGGAUUAGAUACCCCGGUAGUCCACGCUGUAAACGAUGGAUACUAGAUGUCCGAGGGAAUCGACCCCCUUGGGUGUCACAGCUAACGCAUUAAGUAUCCCGCCUGGGGAGUACGGUCGCAAGACUAAAACUCAAAGGAAUUGACGGGGGCCCGCACAAGCGGUGGAACAUGUGGUUUAAUUCGACGCAACGCGAAGAACCUUACCUGGGUUUGACAUCCCGUGACCGCUCUAGAGAUAGAGUUUUUUCUUCGGAAACACGGUGACAGGUGCUGCAUGGCUGUCGUCAGCUCGUGUCGUGAGAUGUUGGGUUAAGUCCCGCAACGAGCGCAACCCUUGUCCUUAGUUGCCAUCAGGUUAUGCUGGGCACUCUAGGGAGACUGCCGGUGAUAAGCCGGAGGAAGGUGGGGAUGACGUCAAGUCCUCAUGGCCUUUAUAUCCAGGGCUACACACGUGUUACAAUGGCAACUACAAAGAGCUGCAAAACCGCGAGGUCAAGCGAAUCUCAAAAAAGUUGUCUCAGUUCGGAUUGUAGUCUGCAACUCGACUACAUGAAGGUGGAAUCGCUAGUAAUCGUGGAUCAGAACGCCACGGUGAAUACGUUCCCGGGCCUUGUACACACCGCCCGUCACACCAUGGGAGUUGACAUGGGCAGAAGUCGUUGAGCCAACUUCGGAGGCAGGUGUUCAAGCUCAGGUUGAUAACUAGGGUG